UCCUGUAUUCAAAAGCAACUGUGGGCUGCCUGUGCCCUGGUCAUUGAUACUGCAGGAGAGGAUGCCGAAAGCCUUGCCCUGUCUUUAGAAGGUCUGCUCGUGUCCUUGCCAAACCCUGAGGCUUUGCAACA
Molecule: small nucleolar RNA, 131 nt
Organism: Acomys russatus (golden spiny mouse)
Lineage: Eukaryota; Metazoa; Chordata; Mammalia; Rodentia; Muridae
Product: small nucleolar RNA SNORA71
Exons: 1
Source: RefSeq, a predicted model, not a curated record